AGGCAUUUGAGGUGGAACCGGAAGAUUAA
Molecule: non-coding RNA, 29 nt
Filed under: Cricetulus griseus (Chinese hamster)
Lineage: Eukaryota; Metazoa; Chordata; Mammalia; Rodentia; Cricetidae
Source: RNAcentral